Molecule: transfer RNA, 74 nt
Filed under: Culex quinquefasciatus (southern house mosquito)
Lineage: Eukaryota; Metazoa; Arthropoda; Insecta; Diptera; Culicidae
Description: tRNA-Thr
Source: RNAcentral
GCAGUGCUUGGCCGAAUGGUUACGCUGUGCGCUUUGUAAGCGGAUGAUUCUGGGUUCGAUUCCCAUCUGCUGCA